AUAAGAUGCACUAUAUCAAGAUGCAAUGGCACUAUCUCAGGAAAAGAAUUUCGUCUCAAUUGUGCCAACUGUUUAAAUUUUGUUGAAUUGAGCAUUUACCUGGAAGUUUGCUUGUAAAUCACUAAUGAAUGAAAGAAAGAACAGGGACACAAAAUGAAUCUUUUAACAGAGAACAUUGAUGUAUUGUAGUUGUUUAUAUGGACUAAUGCAAGUGCCAGUACAACCUUCAUUAGUUACUCUCGAAUCUUUAACUUCAGCGGAAACAUGCUGCUGCUCUGAGCUUUACUUCUGGCUACUAUUGUUGGUUUUGAAUCUUAAUAAUUGUCAGUUGUCAUCAAAUGGAAGUAGUCUGACAAUCUUAUUUGUUUGUAUCUGCUAUCCUGAUUUUGUCAUUGAAAAUGGGAUGAAAGGACAAUGAG
Molecule: long non-coding RNA, 419 nt
Filed under: Aquilegia coerulea
Lineage: Eukaryota; Viridiplantae; Streptophyta; Magnoliopsida; Ranunculales; Ranunculaceae
Description: long non-coding RNA (ACOE_LNC001430)
Source: RNAcentral